CGGAAGACACACGUGAGGCAAACGGGGCAAAGACGACGUGAGUCAAGCGGGGAGCGAUCAAGGGACUUGACCCGUGGACGCUAGCCGUCUCAUCUUAUACAAACGACCGAAGAGGUGGGGUUUUAAGUCGGGGUUUUUAAUGAGCGUUUCAAUCCGGGCUCCCAAGUUUUCAAAUGAAGGCUUCAUGUCAGGGGUUUCAAUCAUGAGUGAAAGUUUCAAAGGAGGAUUUCAAGCGCGGCUUCCAGUUUCAAGUUCAAAUCGAGAGAGAGGAAGGUAGGACAAAGGCGGAAGGUCCAUCUGCGCUGCCACCUCGAGGUCACCCGCUGCCCCGCCUCCCUCCGUCCCCGUGGCGCUUUUGCAUAUUCAUGAGCUCUUCAUUUUUUAUUCCCCCCCCACGACUAUUUUUAUCUCGCUCCAGUGUGACUUUCAGGAGUGGACGGAUGAGGCGAGUUGGGACCUGUUGGGUAUGCUAAUUCCACGGCCGCCGCUUGCUUCCUUUCCAGCGUCCUCAGACAUUUUCUCGAGGCGGCCAAAUGACGUAAAUUCCUUUUUCCACACUGGAUGCAAAAAUCCGCUCACGGCAUCGACACGGAAUAGAAGCGCGGAGUCAAGUUUGCACCUUCAGACGUCGUGUCAGAGCUGGACAUAACUUGUGUGUGUAAAGUUCCUUUUACACUGCCGGCAAAAUUGAGAUUAUUUUUUUUUUUUUCUUUUUGCAGCUUUUUGGUUUCGGCUUUUCUUAGAGACACAACUGGCGCAGAACGAGAGGACUGAAUUUGACCCGACAAUUUUUCUGCUUGCCAAAUUCUGCCCCAUUUUCAAGUCACUUUCCAUAUAAAUGGCACAAACACACGAAAAAGGGAAGAUGAAGUCAACCAGGAACAGAAGCGCAACAAAGGCAAGACGCCAUCUGCGCCGAAAGACCAUUUUACACUUCCUGCAAAAUCCAGCUGCGAGGAGGAGAAAACACACAUGAGAGGAGAACUGCCAACUAACCCCCACCCCACCCCCACCCCGAGCCCUCCCACUCCCCAAGCCUGCCCGGAUGCGCUGAAAGAUUCCGCCACCGCUUCUCGCCUGCAGCUGUAAGAGUACACAAGCGGAACAUUGGGUAGAUUGGAUUGUAAAGCACAGAAAAAAAAAGUUUAAGUUUCUAUUUCGUGCAACGCGCUUCCUUUACGGAACGUUGCAUGUUAUUUCUUUUAUUUUUUUAUUUUUUUUUUACAUUUCCGAAUCCACUUUUGCCGCUGAAGCAAUGCAAAUUUCCCCAUUGUGGGACUUAUAAAGGUUAGCUUCGCCUAAAAAAAAAAAAUAAACGAGAGGUGAAAGUACACGAGCGUGGCAUCAAGUCUCCUCACGACUUGGGGGGGCUGAUGUCGUCGCAGCAUAUUCAUGGAAAUGUCUAAAAACCA
Hippocampus comes (tiger tail seahorse) is the source of this 1412-nucleotide long non-coding RNA. RefSeq lists it as uncharacterized. NCBI's taxonomy places the organism in Eukaryota, Metazoa, Chordata, Actinopteri, Syngnathiformes, Syngnathidae. The record is from RefSeq and is a predicted model, not a curated record. The transcript is spliced from 3 exons.